AUGGAUAGCCAAUUCUUAUUAAGAUAUUGUUUGUAUUCUUUACCCGAAAAAUGGGUUGACUAUUUUGAAAGAUCGGAACAUGGGAAUAGAUAUGGUACCAAAACGGACUACCUAUUUCAAUUUUUGUGCUUUCUUAAAUUGCAUACCUAUACAAGGGUUCAAGUUUCGAUCGAUAUUUACGGAGUUGAUUAUCCCUCUCGAAAAUGA
Molecule: non-coding RNA, 207 nt
Organism: Vicia faba (fava bean)
Lineage: Eukaryota; Viridiplantae; Streptophyta; Magnoliopsida; Fabales; Fabaceae
Source: the annotation of a GenBank genome assembly